This 631-nucleotide ribosomal RNA is filed under the name uncultured Pseudomonadota bacterium. Its description in RNAcentral is "bacterial SSU rRNA". It matches the Rfam family "Bacterial small subunit ribosomal RNA", at positions 54 to 658 of the family's 1533-position model. Lineage: Bacteria; Pseudomonadati; Pseudomonadota. The record is from RNAcentral.
CAUGCAGUCGUACGAGAAAUCCCGAGCUUGCUUGGGAGAGUAAAGUGGCGCACGGGUGAGUAACGCGUGGGUAACCCACCCUCGAAUCUGGGAUAACUCCGCGAAAGCGGUGCUAAUACCGGAUAAGACCACAUUCCGUUUGCGGAAAGAGGUAAAAGCUGACCUCUCCAUGGAAGUUAGCGUUCGAGGACGGGCCCGCGUCCUAUCAGCUUGUUGGUGGGGUAAUGGCCUACCAAGGCAGCGACGGGUAGCUGGUCUGAGAGGAUGAUCAGCCACACUGGAACUGGAACACGGUCCAGACUCCUACGGGAGGCAGCAGUGAGGAAUUUUGCGCAAUGGGGGAAACCCUGACGCAGCAACGCCGCGUGGGUGAAGAAGGCUUUCGGGUCGUAAAGCCCUGUCAGGUGGGAAGAAACUCUUCAGUACUAAUAAUGCUGAAGCCUGACGGUACCACCAGAGGAAGCACCGGCCAACUCCGUGCCAGCAGCCGCGGUAAUACGGAGGGUGCAAGCGUUGUUCGGAAUCAUUGGGCGUAAAGAGCGUGUAGGCGGCUAGGAAAGUCAGAUGUGAAAGCCCUGGGCUCAACCCAGGAAGUGCAUUUGAAACUCUCUAACUUGAGUACGGGAGAGGA